ACAGUUUAAGUAGGUGUCUUUUCUGGUAUCCCAGUUGAGAUGAUUAUUUUCUUUACCAUGAAACAGAAACUGAAAGUUAUCUUUCUUUUUUCUGAAGUGAUGUUCCUUGUUUUUUUUUUGACAGUUAUGUCCCAGUGCAUUUGUGUUUUGAGCACAGAACAAAAAAAAACUAAAAUGUUCUUCAAUGAAAAGAUGCUUUUCACACUGGAAUUGACAUUCCUCUCUCUCUUGAGUCCAAAAGCUGACUCAUCAUGCAUGAGUCCCAGGCAAAACUGACCCUUCAUUUCACAUUUUUCCAAGAGAAAGACCGAAUGUUUAUGGACUAUUGUCUUUUGUCGAUGCCUUCUCUCCAAUUCCUUAUGGCACCCUAUAUCUUGUUUUUUUUUUGUUUCAAUGUUUUAUGCUGCAGAGGACAAGAAUCUCUGGUCCAGAUGGUACAAUAUUUUUUAUUAUUUAUUUCUCCUUCUAGUAUGUUACUCUCCCUCCAAAUUUCUUUCUCUGUUUUUUUGAC
RNAcentral lists this long non-coding RNA (511 nucleotides) under Androctonus crassicauda. The record is from RNAcentral. Lineage: Eukaryota; Metazoa; Arthropoda; Arachnida; Scorpiones; Buthidae.